GCCGCUUUAGCUCAGUUGGUAGAGCAGCUGUCUUGUAAACAGCAGGUCGUCGGUUCGAGUCCGACAAGCGGCUCC
Molecule: transfer RNA, 75 nt
Filed under: Actinomyces naeslundii
Lineage: Bacteria; Bacillati; Actinomycetota; Actinomycetes; Actinomycetales; Actinomycetaceae
Description: tRNA-Thr
Rfam family: tRNA
About the family: Transfer RNA (tRNA) molecules are approximately 80 nucleotides in length.
Source: RNAcentral